This 253-nucleotide ribosomal RNA is filed under the name uncultured bacterium. RNAcentral's name for it is "partial 16S ribosomal RNA". It matches the Rfam family "Bacterial small subunit ribosomal RNA", at positions 524 to 776 of the family's 1533-position model. The record is from RNAcentral.
AACGUAGGAGGCGAGCGUUAUCCGGAUUUACUGGGCGUAAAGCGCGUGCAGGUGGUUCGGUAAGUUGGAUGUGAAAGCUCCUGGCUUAACUGGGAGAGGUCGUUCAAUACUACUGGACUUGAGUGUGGAAGAGGGAAGUGGAAUUCCGGGUGUAGUGGUGAAAUGCGUAGAUAUCCGGAGGAACACCAGUGGCGAAAGCGGCUUCCUGGUCCAUAACUGACACUCAUACGCGAAAGCUAGGGGAGCGAACGGG